Molecule: transfer RNA, 73 nt
Filed under: Camelus bactrianus (Bactrian camel)
Lineage: Eukaryota; Metazoa; Chordata; Mammalia; Artiodactyla; Camelidae
Also listed under: 3 other names
Rfam family: tRNA
About the family: Transfer RNA (tRNA) molecules are approximately 80 nucleotides in length. Their secondary structure includes four short double-helical elements and three loops (D, anti-codon, and T loops).
Source: Rfam by way of RNAcentral
GAGGGUAUAGUUCAGUGGUAGAGUGCAUGCUUAGCAUGCACAAGGUCCCUGGGUUCAAUCCCCAGUACUGUUG